RNAcentral lists this ribosomal RNA (403 nucleotides) under uncultured prokaryote. RNAcentral's name for it is "bacterial SSU rRNA". It matches the Rfam family "Bacterial small subunit ribosomal RNA", at positions 355 to 774 of the family's 1533-position model. The record is from RNAcentral.
UGGGGGAUAUUGCACAAUGGGGGAAACCCUGAUGCAGCAACGCAGCGUGAAGGAAGAAGGUCUUCGGAUUGUAAACUUUUGUCUUGCGGGACGAAUAAUGACGGUACCGCAGGUGGAAGCCACGGCUAACUACGUGCCAGAAGCCGCGGUAAUACGUAGGUGGCGAGCGUUAUCCGGAAUUACUGGGUGUAAAGGGUGCGUAGGCGGAUUUGCAAGUCAGGUGUGAAAACUAUCGGCUUAACCGGUAGCCUGCACUUGAAACUGUGAGUCAUGAGUGGUGAAGAGGUAAGCGGAAUUCCUAGUGUAGCGGUGAAAUGCGUAGAUAUUAGGAGGAACACCAGUGGCGAAGGCGGCUUACUGGGCACUAACUGACGCUGAGGCACGAAAGCAUGGGGAGCAAACA